GACGAACGCUGGCGGCGUGCCUAAAACAUGCAAGUCGAACGAGAUAGCAAUAUCUAGUGGCGAUGCGUCUGAUUAGGUAGAUGGCGGGGUAACGGCCCACCAUGCCGACGAUCAGUAGGGGUUCUGAGAGGAAGGUCCCCCACAUUGGAACUGAGACACGGUCCAAACUCCUACGGGAGGCAGCAGUGGGGAAUCUUCCGCAAUGGGCGAAAGCCUGACGGAGCAACGCCGCGUGAGUGAUGACGGCCUUCGGGUUGUAAAGCUCUGUGAUCGGGGACGAACGGUCCGUAAGCUAAUACCUUAUGGAAGUGACGGUACCCGAAUAGCAAGCCACGGCUAACUACGUG
Molecule: ribosomal RNA, 347 nt
Filed under: uncultured bacterium
Lineage: Bacteria
Description: bacterial SSU rRNA
Rfam family: Bacterial small subunit ribosomal RNA
Source: RNAcentral